Molecule: ribosomal RNA, 2179 nt
Filed under: Pseudomonas aeruginosa
Lineage: Bacteria; Pseudomonadati; Pseudomonadota; Gammaproteobacteria; Pseudomonadales; Pseudomonadaceae
Description: bacterial LSU rRNA
Rfam family: Bacterial large subunit ribosomal RNA
Source: RNAcentral
ACCGGGCGAUCUAUCCAUGAGCAGGUUGAAGGUUAGGUAACACUGACUGGAGGACCGAACCCACUCCCGUUGAAAAGGUAGGGGAUGACUUGUGGAUCGGAGUGAAAGGCUAAUCAAGCUCGGAGAUAGCUGGUUCUCCUCGAAAGCUAUUUAGGUAGCGCCUCAUGUAUCACUCUGGGGGGUAGAGCACUGUUUCGGCUAGGGGGUCAUCCCGACUUACCAAACCGAUGCAAACUCCGAAUACCCAGAAGUGCCGAGCAUGGGAGACACACGGCGGGUGCUAACGUCCGUCGUGAAAAGGGAAACAACCCAGACCGCCAGCUAAGGUCCCAAAGUUGUGGUUAAGUGGUAAACGAUGUGGGAAGGCUUAGACAGCUAGGAGGUUGGCUUAGAAGCAGCCAUCCUUUAAAGAAAGCGUAAUAGCUCACUAGUCGAGUCGGCCUGCGCGGAAGAUGUAACGGGGCUCAAACCACACACCGAAGCUGCGGGUGUCACGUAAGUGACGCGGUAGAGGAGCGUUCUGUAAGCCUGUGAAGGUGAGUUGAGAAGCUUGCUGGAGGUAUCAGAAGUGCGAAUGCUGACAUGAGUAACGACAAUGGGUGUGAAAAACACCCACGCCGAAAGACCAAGGGUUCCUGCGCAACGUUAAUCGACGCAGGGUUAGUCGGUUCCUAAGGCGAGGCUGAAAAGCGUAGUCGAUGGGAAACAGGUUAAUAUUCCUGUACUUCUGGUUACUGCGAUGGAGGGACGGAGAAGGCUAGGCCAGCUUGGCGUUGGUUGUCCAAGUUUAAGGUGGUAGGCUGAAAUCUUAGGUAAAUCCGGGGUUUCAAGGCCGAGAGCUGAUGACGAGUCGUCUUUUAGAUGACGAAGUGGUUGAUGCCAUGCUUCCAAGAAAAGCUUCUAAGCUUCAGGUAACCAGGAACCGUACCCCAAACCGACACAGGUGGUCGGGUAGAGAAUACCAAGGCGCUUGAGAGAACUCGGGUGAAGGAACUAGGCAAAAUGGCACCGUAACUUCGGGAGAAGGUGCGCCGGCUAGGGUGAAGGAUUUACUCCGUAAGCUCUGGCUGGUCGAAGAUACCAGGCCGCUGCGACUGUUUAUUAAAAACACAGCACUCUGCAAACACGAAAGUGGACGUAUAGGGUGUGACGCCUGCCCGGUGCCGGAAGGUUAAUUGAUGGGGUUAGCGCAAGCGAAGCUCUUGAUCGAAGCCCCGGUAAACGGCGGCCGUAACUAUAACGGUCCUAAGGUAGCGAAAUUCCUUGUCGGGUAAGUUCCGAUCUGCACGAAUGGCGUAACGAUGGCGGCGCUGUCUCCACCCGAGACUCAGUGAAAUUGAAAUCGCUGUGAAGAUGCAGUGUAUCCGCGGCUAGACGGAAAGACCCCGUGAACCUUUACUGUAGCUUUGCACUGGACUUUGAGCCUGCUUGUGUAGGAUAGGUGGGAGGCUUUGAAGCGUGGACGCCAGUUCGCGUGGAGCCAUCCUUGAAAUACCACCCUGGCAUGCUUGAGGUUCUAACUCUGGUCCGUGAUCCGGAUCGAGGACAGUGUAUGGUGGGCAGUUUGACUGGGGCGGUCUCCUCCUAAAGAGUAACGGAGGAGUACGAAGGUGCGCUCAGACCGGUCGGAAAUCGGUCGCAGAGUAUAAAGGCAAAAGCGCGCUUGACUGCGAGACAGACACGUCGAGCAGGUACGAAAGUAGGUCUUAGUGAUCCGGUGGUUCUGUAUGGAAGGGCCAUCGCUCAACGGAUAAAAGGUACUCCGGGGAUAACAGGCUGAUACCGCCCAAGAGUUCAUAUCGACGGCGGUGUUUGGCACCUCGAUGUCGGCUCAUCACAUCCUGGGGCUGAAGCCGGUCCCAAGGGUAUGGCUGUUCGCCAUUUAAAGUGGUACGCGAGCUGGGUUUAGAACGUCGUGAGACAGUUCGGUCCCUAUCUGCCGUGGACGUUUGAGAUUUGAGAGGGGCUGCUCCUAGUACGAGAGGACCGGAGUGGACGAACCUCUGGUGUUCCGGUUGUCACGCCAGUGGCAUUGCCGGGUAGCUAUGUUCGGAAAAGAUAACCGCUGAAAGCAUCUAAGCGGGAAACUUGCCUCAAGAUGAGAUCUCACUGGGAACUUGAUUCCCCUGAAGGGCCGUCGAAGACUACGACGUUGAUAGGCUGGGUGUGUAAGCGUUGU